UGUGGAGGCCAGAAGACAACUUUCUGGAGCAGGUUCUGGCCUUCUACUGUGGGCUGUGAGGAUCAAACUCAGGCUGGAGGCUGACUCAUCAAGUGCUUUAACCUGCUGAGUCACUUCACUGGCCCAAAGCCAAUUACUUUUGUUGUUGUUGUUGUUUAUUUUUCUAGACAGGGUCUCAUUAUAUAGCUCUGACUGUCCUAGAACUCAUUAUGUAGAAUAGACUUUCCUCAAACUCAUGGAGAUUCACUGGCUUCUGCCUCCCAAGUGCUGCCCCUGGCUCUUCCCAGUUACUUCUAAAAAGACUGAAAAUAGUAAGAAAAAGGAAAAAAAAAAAAGAUCAAUUUAACCUCAUACUAUUUCUGGUGUGGUUCAUUACUUUGUAUAAAUCUAAUUUUCAUAUGAUAUCACGUUCCCUCUGCUCAUAGAGCUCUAGUUAUCAUUUCUUUUAUGCACAUGUGUUAUAGACAGUGUGUCUGUCCUCUUCAGUUUUUGCUGGUCUGAAAAGUUUAAGAACAGAAGCUUAUGUAUCCCAGAUGUCCUCCAAGGAUGACCUUGGCCUCCUGACCCUCCCGCCUGAAGCUCUUGAGUGUUGGGAUUACAGUACAGGAGUGUACUCUUGGUUUAUGUGAUACUAGAGAUCAGUGCAGAGACUCACAGGGCUAGAAUCUAUAGCUACUAAAACUGAACUAAAGCUCUAGUUCCUGUUGGAAAAAGUUUGGAGAGACAGUGACUGCGAGCCUGUAAUCCUAGCUCAUGGGAGGCUGAGGCAAGAAAAUGAUUGUAAAUUUAAGAUCAGCAUAGACUACAUAGGGAAUUCUAGACCAGCCUGGGCUAUAGUGUGAGACCCUGUCUC
Molecule: long non-coding RNA, 853 nt
Filed under: Mus caroli (Ryukyu mouse)
Lineage: Eukaryota; Metazoa; Chordata; Mammalia; Rodentia; Muridae
Description: predicted gene 43774 (MGP_CAROLIEiJ_G0034500.1)
Source: RNAcentral